RNAcentral lists this small nucleolar RNA (81 nucleotides) under Trifolium pratense (red clover). RNAcentral's name for it is "snoRNA snoU31b". It matches the Rfam family "Small nucleolar RNA U31b". The record is from Rfam by way of RNAcentral. Lineage: Eukaryota; Viridiplantae; Streptophyta; Magnoliopsida; Fabales; Fabaceae.
GGAUGUGAUGAUAGUAAUUGUCGCCCCAGUCUUAAUUUGCACUUUCAAGUGUAACAUGGUGACUGACUUAUUAUCUGAUCC